This 76-nucleotide transfer RNA is filed under the name Escherichia phage DT57C. RNAcentral's name for it is "tRNA-Gln". It matches the Rfam family "tRNA". From Rfam's summary of the family: Transfer RNA (tRNA) molecules are approximately 80 nucleotides in length. The record is from RNAcentral. Lineage: Duplodnaviria; Heunggongvirae; Uroviricota; Caudoviricetes; Demerecviridae.
AGAACCUGAGCCAAGUCGGUUAAGGCCGGGGUCUCUGAAAUCCUGAUCAGUGGUUCAAAUCCACUACCUUCUGCCA